RNAcentral lists this ribosomal RNA (467 nucleotides) under uncultured bacterium. RNAcentral's name for it is "partial 16S ribosomal RNA". It matches the Rfam family "Bacterial small subunit ribosomal RNA", at positions 28 to 507 of the family's 1533-position model. The record is from RNAcentral.
GACGAACGCUGGCGGCGUGCUUAACACAUGCAAGUCGAACGGAAAGGCCCUGCUUUUGUGGGGUGCUCGAGUGGCGAACGGGUGAGUAACACGUGAGUAACCUGCCCUUGACUUUGGGAUAACUUCAGGAAACUGGGGCUAAUACCGGAUAGGAGCUCCUGCUGCAUGGUGGGGGUUGGAAAGUUUCGGCGGUUGGGGAUGGACUCGCGGCUUAUCAGCUUGUUGGUGGGGUAGUGGCUUACCAAGGCUUUGACGGGUAGCCGGCCUGAGAGGGUGACCGGCCCCAUGGGACCUGGGAUCCGGCCCAGAGUCCUACGGGAGGAAGAGGUGGGAAUAUUGCACAAUGGGCGGAAGCCUGAUGCAGCAACGCCGCGUGCGGGAUGACGGCCUUCGGGUUGUAAACCGCUUUCGCCUGUGACGAAGCGUGAGUGACGGUAAUGGGUAAAGAAGCACCGGCUAACUACGUG